UACACUCCUGCGGGAGGCAGCAGUGGGGAAUAUUGCACAAUGGGCGCAAGCCUGAUGCAGCCAUGCCGCGUGUAUGAAGAAGGCCUUCGGGUUGUAAAGUACUUUCAGCGGGGAGGAAGGCAAUACGGUUAAUAACCGUGUUGAUUGACGUUACCCGCAGAAGAAGCACCGGCUAACUCCGUGCCAGCAGCCGCGGUAAUACGGAGGGUGCAAGCGUUAAUCGGAAUUACUGGGCGUAAAGCGCACGCAGGCGGUCUGUCAAGUCGGAUGUGAAAUCCCCGGGCUCAACCUGGGAACUGCAUUCGAAACUGGCAGGCUUGAGUCUUGUAGAGGGGGGUAGAAUUCCAGGUGUAGCGGUGAAAUGCGUAGAGAUCUGGAGGAAUACCGGUGGCGAAGGCGGCCCCCUGGACAAAGACUGACGCUCAGGUGCGAAAGCGUGGGGAGCAAACAGGAUUAGAUACCCUAGUAGUCCCAUGAU
RNAcentral lists this ribosomal RNA (478 nucleotides) under uncultured organism. RNAcentral's name for it is "partial 16S ribosomal RNA". It matches the Rfam family "Bacterial small subunit ribosomal RNA", at positions 332 to 801 of the family's 1533-position model. The record is from RNAcentral.